GGCGGCCCAGUAUCAGGACCCGGUUAAGCUAAAAGCUCACCUGUGCCUUUCGUCCGGUUGAUUAACACACCUGAGGCCAGCUGAUUGGCCGAGGUGAGAACUUGCCCACUGGAGCUCUCAUCAUUCACAUACUAGCUGUGGCAGGACUGGCAAGCAGCAGAAGCUCCUUCAAGAGUUUUCCCGUUGAAUGCGGACUGGUGGUCUUGCUUUCCCACAUGGAGCUGUGGGAAGUCUUGAGAUUUGGGACAAAGGAGGCCUACAACUCUGCCUGGAUUACCUCAUGCCUUUGGUCCCUGAAGUGGCCCGUCCGUCUCUCUGGCCCCUCUUCAGGAACAAGUAAGGAAGGAAGGAGAUUACAACUCAUAAAAAACAAUGACUUAGUUCAGCUGGUAUUACAACCCAACCUCCUCACCAAACCGGCCGAUUGAGGAGGACAGAAGAAAAUCCGGAGGCUGAAACUAUUUCUCUAAUGCAAAGACGGGAUUCCCCACUUUCCUGAAUGUUAUAAUUGAAUGCAAAUAAAGAUAUAUUCUGCGUU
Long non-coding RNA from Gasterosteus aculeatus aculeatus (three-spined stickleback), 538 nucleotides. Lineage: Eukaryota; Metazoa; Chordata; Actinopteri; Perciformes; Gasterosteidae. The record is from Ensembl.